UUUGGAGUCUAGCUAACACAGCAUCUUGGAUGCACUCCUAAGAGAAGACUACCUGAAAGGCGUGUACACUGGUCUAGCAGUUGAGAUCAGCUAGUGUUCCAUCUAUCUUCUGUCAUGUGAGGGAAGACUCUCUGAUCCUCUCAUAAUUUACCUAUUGUUGAUUUCCUGAAUCUUUUUAAAUCCUUUGCAACUGAAGAUGGUCUCUCCAUCAGAGAAGCAAUUAACCAAAUGCCUGACUACAGCGUAUAUAGCAUCUGUUAUAAAAGCAUAAAAGGUUAACUUAAAUCCUGGCACACAAAGGAGAUGUCAGACCAGAACAAAUCAGCAUGGAAAUACCUGGAGGAGAUACAAGGUUAAGGUGGAGCAUAUGUACAGUCAAGAGGAUGUUCAUGACUAGUGGAAUGUGUUUUUCAGAUUGCAAAGACUGGAAGGUGCAGGUGACAAGGAGAUUAAACAAGGUCACUUGUUUUCUUUCCUUCUCUGAAAUAAAGAAGGUCAGUCUGGUAAUAGUGGCCGUAUCACACAAUUUCGACCCAUGGGAUAUAAAUGGAAGUCGACUGUGAUUUUUCCCAGUCAUUGCUUUCUGUUAAUGAGAUCUGUUUUAUUUCUCUUUUCUUUUUUCGUCCUACUAAAAAUGCAUGUGAUUGUCAUAGCUGAAACGAGGAGUUCUUGCUCUGUCACCUAGUCUGGAAUGCAAGGGCACAAUCAUAGCUCACUGCAGCCUCAUACUCCUGGACUCAAAUGAUCCUCCUGCCUCACCCUCCUGAGUAGUUGGGACUACAGGCUAUACUGGUUAUUGUGGAUCCAAAAAUCCUAGGACACAGACUUUGCCCUCAAAUUAUUUACUGCAUAGUGGGUGGCCUGAAAAGCAAACAUAAGCACUAAAUAUGGAAAAAUGCAAAAGGCAAUGGGACCAUAAAAGGAACAGGUCUCUUCUAAGAUGUCUUGAUCGACUGACCCCAAAGCCAGAGGGUACCAGGUCAAAAAGCAAGGUGGUUGAAUGAAAAACUCCAAUAACCACAGAAGACUGAUUUAAUAAUGGAAUACUAAAACAAACAAUACUGACAUUAGAGAGAAGCAAAGUUUCUAUAGAAAACCUAUUACACUGUGGUAUAAAUCAAGAUGAACCUGCAGACAUCUAUUUUAGGUUGGAAGUCUGGAAAAGUUCAAGAUUGGCCAUCUGCAGCUGGUGAGAGCCUCAGGCUGCUUCCCCUCAUGGUGGAAGGUGAAGGGGAGCUGGUGUGUGCAGAGAUUACAUGGUUUUCUAGGUCAUCAUUCUAGGCUUUGUUGAAGCAUGCAUUUUUGGCAUGAGGGUGGCAGCCUUUGCACUAUGUGCAUGGCUGAGGAGUUAGGAUCUGGAGGGUGAUGAAAGGAAAGGUGCUGCUGGUUACUCUUGGUUCAUCUAGCAAUAGAUGAUCUGAAUGUUAGAGUUCGCCAAAUAUUGUUCCUGGGCAGUCUUUGCUCUACCAAAUCAACUUUCUCCAUGGGUUCUUCUAGGGGAGCUAGAAGUCACCCCACAUUCUCCGCCAUGGCCAGCUCUACAUUCUAAGAGGACCAAUGGCUCUACCCAACAUAUUCUUCUCACCACAGAUGACAAAGACACAAGGAGCCAAGACAGAUCAUUCAAGCAUAUUCAUUGCCUCUAUCUUCAUCCCAUUAAAUAACAUCCCGCCAACCAAAGCAAGUUAUCUGCAUAAGAAUAAAUAUUCCACCUACUCUACUGCAAGGCCCUGCAAGAGUCAUGAGACAAAAGGAUCCUCUGUGGACAGCACCCAAGAUGGAAACAACUGACAGUCUAUGGCCAGGGCUAUACUCUGGUGAAACUGAAAGGUGUCUGCAUGGAAGUGUCUGACUACCACCAUCCACUCAGGCAAAUGCAUUUGUUUCCCUCUAUUCAUUAUUAGAAGAGAGGAGAUUACAUACCAGACAUAUACCAAUAGGGAUGGGGUUUCAUCAUGUUGACCAGGCUGGUCUUGCCCUCCCGACCACAGGUGAUCUGCCCGCCUGAGCCUCCCAAAGUGCUGGGAUUACAGGCAUGAGCCACCACGCCUGUCCAAAACUUCUUGACUUAAUAAAGAAAGAAAGAAAGAUUUUCUCUUCAUAAUACCUACGUCAUCUAGUAGCAUAACAUAAGGCAGAAUCCUUCAAAGGUUUUCACCUGAACUUUUCUUGAGCAUCUCUAGACAGUCACAUGCAGAAUAACAACUGGGUUUUAGGUGUACCAAGUUCUUAGUAUGGAAAAAAGAUAUCCUACAAAAUUUUGUCUCUACACAUGUUGAAGUUCAUCUCUCACCCCUCUCUACUCUCUUACUUAUGCUUCAAGCAAAUGGAAUUACUUUUUUUCAUACUGAGACAUUAAAACAGGAAAUCCUUCUUCCUAGGACUCCUGUUCACCACCACUACCUCUACACAUAGGAGAUCCACGUAAGACACUUGCAUCCAAGACAAGUCAGAAUGAUUACAUAUGAAAGUUUUAAUUGCACUGUAUGGGGAUAUUGCUGUGUUGUGAAUUAAAUAAGAAUUCAUAUUUUCU
Molecule: long non-coding RNA, 2533 nt
Filed under: Homo sapiens (human)
Lineage: Eukaryota; Metazoa; Chordata; Mammalia; Primates; Hominidae
Description: long non-coding RNA NONHSAT199079.1
Source: RNAcentral